GCUGCAAGAACAUUGUGUCACACCCUUCAGCAGAGAUGAUGCUGAAGAUCAGGAAAUCACAGCGAGCAGCACAGUUCCUGCAGCUUCAGCAAACAUCGUUGAAAGCUCUGGGCCGGCUCAUGGUGGUCCUGCUUGAGACAGUGACCCCCCAUGGAUUCUUCCAGAACAUAGUCCCUGUCCUGCAGAGAUCAGUGACCUCAAACAACGUGUGGGAGCGAAGGAGGGCCCUGCAGACCUGCUCCCAGAUGCUGGCUACAUGUGAAGAGCUUCAAGUGAGUAAA
Molecule: non-coding RNA, 281 nt
Organism: Meleagris gallopavo (turkey)
Lineage: Eukaryota; Metazoa; Chordata; Aves; Galliformes; Phasianidae
Source: RefSeq, a predicted model, not a curated record